GGGUUCGUCAUUGUUGAAACUCA
RNAcentral lists this non-coding RNA (23 nucleotides) under Arabidopsis thaliana (thale cress). Lineage: Eukaryota; Viridiplantae; Streptophyta; Magnoliopsida; Brassicales; Brassicaceae. The record is from RNAcentral.